UACGUAGGGUGCAAGCGUUGUCCGGAAUUAUUGGGCGUAAAGAGCUCGUAGGCGGUUUGUCGCGUCUGCUGUGAAAACCUAAGGCUCAACCUUGGGCUUGCAGUGGGUACGGGCAGACUAGAGUGCGGUAGGGGUGACUGGAAUUCCUGGUGUAGCGGUGGAAUGCGCAGAUAUCAGGAGGAACACCGGUGGCGAAGGCGGGUCUCUGGGCCGAUACUGACGCUGAGGAGCGAAAGCGUGGGGAGCGAACAGG
This 253-nucleotide ribosomal RNA is filed under the name uncultured bacterium. RNAcentral describes it as "partial 16S ribosomal RNA". It matches the Rfam family "Bacterial small subunit ribosomal RNA", at positions 524 to 776 of the family's 1533-position model. The record is from RNAcentral.